GGGUUAAUAUUCCCGUACUUGGUGUUACUGCGAAGGGGGGACGGAGAAGGCUAUGUUGGCCGGGCGACGGUUGUCCCGGUUUAAGCGUGUAGGCUGGUUUUCCAGGCAAAUCCGGAAAAUCAAGGCUGAGGCGUGAUGACGAGGCACUACGGUGCUGAAGCAACAAAUGCCCUGCUUCCAGGAAAAGCCUCUAAGCAUCAGGUAACAUCAAAUCGUACCCCAAACCGACACAGGUGGUCAGGUAGAGAAUACCAAGGCGCUUGAGAGAACUCGGGUGAAGGAACUAGGCAAAAUGGUGCCGUAACUUCGGGAGAAGGCACGCUGACACGUAGGUGAAGUGAUUUACUCAUGGAGCUGAAGUCAGUCGAAGAUACCAGCUGGCUGCAACUGUUUAUUAAAAACACAGCACUGUGCAAACACGAAAGUGGACGUAUACGGUGUGACGCCUGCCCGGUGCCGGAAGGUUAAUUGAUGGGGUCAGCGCAAGCGAAGCUCCUGAUCGAAGCCCCGGUAAACGGCGGCCGUAACUAUAACGGUCCUAAGGUAGCGAAAUUCCUUGUCGGGUAAGUUCCGACCUGCACGAAUGGCGUAAUGAUGGCCAGGCUGUCUCCACCCGAGACUCAGUGAAAUUGAACUCGCUGUGAAGAUGCAGUGUACCCGCGGCAAGACGGAAAGACCCCGUGAACCUUUACUAUAGCUUGACACUGAACAUUGAGCCUUGAUGUGUAGGAUAGGUGGGAGGCUUUGAAGUGUGGACGCCAGUCUGCAUGGAGCCGACCUUGAAAUACCACCCUUUAAUGUUUGAUGUUCUAACGUGGACCCGUUACCCGGGUUGCGGACAGUGUCUGGUGGGUAGUUUGACUGGGGCGGUCUCCUCCUAAAGAGUAACGGAGGAGCACGAAGGUUGGCUAAUCCUGGUCGGACAUCAGGAGGUUAGUGCAAUGGCAUAAGCCAGCUUGACUGCGAGCGUGACGGCGCGAGCAGGUGCGAAAGCAGGUCAUAGUGAUCCGGUGGUUCUGAAUGGAAGGGCCAUCGCUCAACGGAUAAAAGGUACUCCGGGGAUAACAGGCUGAUACCGCCCAAGAGUUCAUAUCGACGGCGGUGUUUGGCACCUCGAUGUCGGCUCAUCACAUCCUGGGGCUGAAGUAGGUCCCAAGGGUAUGGCUGUUCGCCAUUUAAAGUGGUACGCGAGCUGGGUUUAGAACGUCGUGAGACAGUUCGGUCCCUAUCUGCCGUGGGCGCUGGAGAACUGAGGGGGGCUGCUCCUAGUACGAGAGGACCGGAGUGGACGCAUCACUGGUGUUCGGGUUGUCAUGCCAAUGGCACUGCCCGGUAGCUAAAUGCGGAAGAGAUAAGUGCUGAAAGCAUCUAAGCACGAAACUUGCCCCGAG
This 1391-nucleotide ribosomal RNA is filed under the name Salmonella enterica subsp. enterica serovar Enteritidis. RNAcentral describes it as "partial 23S ribosomal RNA". It matches the Rfam family "Bacterial large subunit ribosomal RNA", at positions 1427 to 2803 of the family's 2925-position model. Lineage: Bacteria; Pseudomonadati; Pseudomonadota; Gammaproteobacteria; Enterobacterales; Enterobacteriaceae. The record is from RNAcentral.